Peptostreptococcaceae bacterium is the source of this 115-nucleotide non-coding RNA. The record is from Rfam. NCBI's taxonomy places the organism in Bacteria, Bacillati, Bacillota, Clostridia, Peptostreptococcales, Peptostreptococcaceae.
UAAAUUCUUCAGGGCAGGGUGAAAUUCCCUAUCGGCGGUAAAGUCCGCGAGCUUUGUGCAUGAUUUGGUGUAAUUCCAAAACCGACGGUUAUAGUCCGGAUGAGAGAAGAAAAUG